Non-coding RNA from Cladorrhinum sp. PSN332, 110 nucleotides. The record is from the annotation of a GenBank genome assembly. NCBI's taxonomy places the organism in Eukaryota, Fungi, Ascomycota, Sordariomycetes, Sordariales, Podosporaceae.
GGGAGCUUGGCUCAGUUGGAAGAGCGCAGGUCUCAUACGCUAGUAUGAUCUGAUUGACAAAAACAAUCAGAGUAAUCCUGAGGUCGUGAGUUCGAGCCUCACAGUUCCCA